AACUCUGAGUGAACUUCUGCAAUCUGGUUAGUGACUGAAUCUGAUACUCUGACUUGAUUCUUUUGGCAUAACAUUUUAAGCAGCUUCAAAUAACCUCUUGAUAUGUCCAGUACAGAGCAAAUAAUGCCAAAUUACAUGUAAUUUCCUGCAUGUCACAUAAGAACAGUCAGGAUAGUUUUCAUACAAUUUUCGAUAGUUUAACAUACAUGUAUCAACUCAGGUGAAUGUCACUCACCUGCUCACUUGUUCUCUGUUAUGUUGCUAAAUAUGCAGACUUCAGCGAAGAAAAAAGCACCUCAGUUCUGGUAGGGAAGGGUGGUGUCAACGUUAAUGCAGGUAAAGGAAAGCCUGGAGGAACCAAUGUGAAUGUUGGGAAGGGUGGUGUGAAUGUGCACGCUCCAAACAAAAAGCCAGGUGGUGGUACUAAUGUCAACGUUGGGAAGGGAGGCGUAAAUGUGCAAACUGGGAAGGGAAAGCCAGGGAGCGGUACCAAUGUCAACGUAGGGGGAAAAGGUGGUGUUGGAGUGCACACCGGAAAGCCCGGAAAGAGAACCAACGUUGGUGUUGGCAAAGGAGGAGUGCAUGUAAGCACACACCACAAGGGAAAACCUGUAUAUGUUGGAGU
This 625-nucleotide long non-coding RNA is filed under the name Fragaria vesca (wild strawberry). RNAcentral describes it as "long non-coding RNA (FVES_LNC000854)". The record is from RNAcentral. Lineage: Eukaryota; Viridiplantae; Streptophyta; Magnoliopsida; Rosales; Rosaceae.